This 453-nucleotide unclassified non-coding RNA is filed under the name Hevea brasiliensis (rubber tree). Lineage: Eukaryota; Viridiplantae; Streptophyta; Magnoliopsida; Malpighiales; Euphorbiaceae. The record is from RNAcentral.
GAAAUCUAGCGGUUCGUGGAGGAAAUUUUUUAAUUAAGUAGAUGCUAGUGAUCUCUGUUUUACGUGAAUUUUAGUGUAUUUCUAGCUCGAUCUUCGUCAGUGUCUGAGGAUUUGAAGAAACCGAUCGGGUUUGGUUCUCCAUUUAGUGAAGUGCAGUGAUGUGUUGAGUAAUGGCACUUAGACUUCCAGCUCCAAAGGCAGCUGAGGUUGCAAUUGGGUCCAUAGGGCAUGGAUAUGAUAUAACAGCUGAUUUAAGGUUGAAAUACUGUAAAGGGGGUGCAAAGGAUUCACAAUUAAUUGAGAUUGAUGAAGGUGGGGGUGGAGAGAUUGUUCUUCCAGGUGGGAUAUCAAUACCAAAUGUGCCUAAGUCAAUAAAGUGCGAUAAAGGGGAGCGGACAAGGUUUAGGUCUGAUGUCCUCUCUUUCCAGCAGAUGUCUGAGCAAUUCAACCAGG